Molecule: ribosomal RNA, 497 nt
Filed under: uncultured bacterium
Lineage: Bacteria
Description: partial 16S ribosomal RNA
Rfam family: Bacterial small subunit ribosomal RNA
Source: RNAcentral
GAUGAACGCUGGCGGCGUGCCUAAUACAUGCAAGUCGAGCGAACGGACGAGAAGCUUGCUUCUCUGAUGUUAGCGGAGGACGGGUGAGUAACACGUGGAUAACCUACCUAUAAGACUGGGAUAAUUUCGGGAAACCGUAGCUAAUACCGGAUAAUAUUUUGAACCGCAUGGUUCAAAAGUGAAAGACGGUCUUGCGGUCACUUAUAGAUGGAUCCGCGCUGCAUUAGCUAGUUGGUAAGGUAACGGCUUACCAAGGCAACGAUGCAUAGCCGACCUGAGAGGGUGGUCGGCCACACUGGAACUGAGACACGGUCCAGACUCCUACGGGACGCAGCAGUAGGGAAUCGUCCGCAAUGGGCGAAAGCCUGACGGAGCAACGCCGCGUGAGUGAUAAAGGUCUUCGGAUCGUAAAACUCUGUUAUUAGGGAAGAACAUAUGUGUAAGUAACUGUGCACAUCUUGACGGUACCUAAUCAGAAAGCCACGGCUAACUACGUG